GGGGAUUUAGCUCAGUUGGUAGAGCGGCAGAUUGAAGAUCUGCGCGUCAGUGGUUCGACUCCACUAUUCCCCA
Molecule: transfer RNA, 73 nt
Filed under: Sediminibacterium sp.
Lineage: Bacteria; Pseudomonadati; Bacteroidota; Chitinophagia; Chitinophagales; Chitinophagaceae
Description: tRNA-Phe
Rfam family: tRNA
About the family: Transfer RNA (tRNA) molecules are approximately 80 nucleotides in length.
Source: RNAcentral